UGGAUAUACAGGCAGCAAUGCACUGUAUACAUUCGGUGUCUGAUAUUCGUAUUAAGCGUAUGUUAAGUACGCCAGCCCGGAUGGGAAAGCAGCCGUCAUUUGAUGGUUGCUUUUUUGUUUCC
This 122-nucleotide non-coding RNA is filed under the name unclassified sequences. Its description in RNAcentral is "DUF3800-I RNA". It matches the Rfam family "DUF3800-I RNA". Rfam says of the family: Actinobacteria, Firmicutes, Fusobacteria, Proteobacteria (1 example), Tenericutes (2 examples). The record is from Rfam by way of RNAcentral.